Long non-coding RNA from Phymastichus coffea, 249 nucleotides. RefSeq lists it as uncharacterized. The transcript has 3 exons. Lineage: Eukaryota; Metazoa; Arthropoda; Insecta; Hymenoptera; Eulophidae. The record is from RefSeq and is a predicted model, not a curated record.
AAGAGACGGAAACAGCUACGGGAGAAGCGCCAUGUGAAUGUCACUUGAAAUCAACGAAGACGAAGUUAAGAUGUCUAAUGAUUCUUUUGGUGCAAACUCAACGACAAGAAACUCAAUGUUUUGGAUCGCGUGGAUUCAUGGCGGAUCCCACAGGACAAUGAAAGUCUUCAGAGAAUUCAGGUAUAUUGGAGAAAGAUCCCGUUAUGCGAAAUUGGCCAGGACUGUGUACACUAGUAAAGAGAAGAUUUU